This 492-nucleotide ribosomal RNA is filed under the name uncultured bacterium. RNAcentral describes it as "partial 16S ribosomal RNA". It matches the Rfam family "Bacterial small subunit ribosomal RNA", at positions 29 to 507 of the family's 1533-position model. The record is from RNAcentral.
AGUGAACGCUGGCGGUAGGCCUAACACAUGCAAGUCGAACGGCAGCACAGUAAGAGCUUGCUCUUACGGGUUGCGAGUGGCGGACGGGUGAGGAAUACAUCGGAAUCUACUUUUUCGUGGGGGAUAACGUAGGGAAACUUACGCUAAUACCGCAUACGACCUACGGGUGAAAGCAGGUGAUCUUCGGACCUUGCGCGAUUGAAUGAGCCGAUGUCGGAUUAGCUAGUUGGCGGGGUAAAGGCCCACCAAGGCGACGAUCCGUAGCUGGUCUGAGAGGAUGAUCAGCCAAACUGGAACUGAGAGACGGUCCAGACUCCUACGGGAGGCAGCAGUGGGGAAUAUUGGAAAAUGGGAGCAAGCCUGAUCCAGCCAUACCGCGUGGGUGAAGAAGGCCUUCGGGUUGUAAAGCCCUUUUGUUGGGAAAGAAAAGCAGCAGGUUAAUACCCCGCUGUUCUGACGGUACCCAAAGAAUAAGCACCGGCUAACUUCGUG